GUGCCUCAAUCUAAUGAGUAAGGAAAUUAUUGGGCCUUGAUGACAUCUCGGCUAUGCCCACUGGGCGGAACUAUUUUUGACGGGCACAGGUCGUCCCCUUGAGCUGCGCGCCUACUUUGCGUGUGGUUCGGGUGAAGCGAUCUACCCG
Small nuclear RNA from Cydia amplana, 148 nucleotides. RefSeq annotates it as U12 minor spliceosomal RNA. The transcript has a single exon. Lineage: Eukaryota; Metazoa; Arthropoda; Insecta; Lepidoptera; Tortricidae. The record is from RefSeq and is a predicted model, not a curated record.